This 433-nucleotide ribosomal RNA is filed under the name uncultured bacterium. Its description in RNAcentral is "partial 16S ribosomal RNA". It matches the Rfam family "Bacterial small subunit ribosomal RNA", at positions 29 to 507 of the family's 1533-position model. The record is from RNAcentral.
AGCGAACGCUGGCGGCAGGCCUAACACAUGCAAGUCGAACGGAUCCUUCGGGAUUAGUGGCGGACGGGUGAGUAACACGUGGGAACGUUCCCUUUGGUUCGGAACAACUCAGGGAAACUUGAGCUAAUACCGGAUGUGCCCUUCGGGGGAAAGAUUUAUCGCCAUUGGAGCGGCCCGCGUCUGAUUAGCUAGUUGGUGAGGUAACGGCCCAUCAAGGCGACGAUCAGUAGCUGGUCUGGGAGGAUGAUCAGCCACCCUGGGACUGAGACACGGCCCAGACUCCUACGGGAGGCAGCAGUGGGGAAUCUUGCGCAAUGGGCGAAAGCCUGACGCAGCCAUGCCGCGUGAAUGAUGAAGGUCUUAGGAUUGUAAAAUUCUUUCAGCGGGGACGAUAAUGACGGUACCCGCAGAAGAAGCUCCGGCUAACUUCGUG